Molecule: long non-coding RNA, 6858 nt
Filed under: Populus tremula
Lineage: Eukaryota; Viridiplantae; Streptophyta; Magnoliopsida; Malpighiales; Salicaceae
Description: long non-coding RNA (PTRE_LNC001812)
Source: RNAcentral
UACAUCACAAAGCUUCAAAAUCUUUGGUCAAAUCUCGAAACCCAAUUCGACCCCCAACACUUUAACGCUGCAACAAUUAUCUUCUUAGGCGAUUACUGUGACAGAGGCCCAGAUACCAAGAAAGUCCUAGAUUUCUUGAUAGACUUACCUUCAAGGUAUCCAAAUCAAAAGCAUGUGUUUCUUUCGGGAAAUCAUGACUUUGCUUUUGCUGCUUUCGUUGGUGUCCUGCCUGAGCCGCAAAAUGGGGUGUCAUUUAAGGAAGGAUGGAAGGAGUAUGAAGAGAGUGAGGACAGGGAAGGGUGGUAUAAAGGAGACGGGUAUGAGAAUAUGCAUUUGCAAGGGAGAAGGUGGGCUGGUCAUAUUAAGGAGAGAUUCAAUACCAUUAAAGGGACUGAAUAUAAGGGCUCUAUUUAUGAUGCUGGUCCCACUUUCGCUUCCUACGGUGUCCCUCAUGGAUCUUCUGGUAUGUCUUGUUUUCUUUUAGUCUUUCAUUGAUCGAAGUUUUAAUUAUCAAUAGCUUAAUCACGUCUCCAUGUUUGUAUGGAAAUGUAUAGCUGUUGUUUGGUUUUUUAGUUGUUAAAUAUGAAAUAGGCUAUUGUUGUCUAGCAGUUUUGAACUGAGUUGAUUGUGUUUGAGUUGUUUGAUUCUUAGUUUUUUAAUGUAAGAGGGUAAAAAUAAUAUAUUUUGGAUUAGUAUAAUCAUUAAUGGAGCAUUGAAAUCUUUAGAUUCUUGCAUUUUUUACACUUGAGAUGGUUCUGAAUUCAAUACAAUUAAUAGUGUGAUUUAUUGGUGUAAAUUUUUGUAUCGAGACAGACUUAUUGAAGGCAGUUCCUGAUGAUCACAAGAAGUUUCUAGCUGAUAUGGUUUGGGUCCAUGAAGAGGUGAAGUUUAUUUCAUUGCCAUCUUAAUCGAUUAGAAGUUUGAUCAAUGAUGAUUUAGUGUUAUGGUGUGAGUUGCCAGAAAAGAAAGAUGAUCAACUGAGUAUAUUACAUAACGCGAGUUCCAUAAUUUGUAGUUUGAUUUGAUCAGUAGGGACAAUGGAUGAAGCUUGGUGCGUUUCAUAAUGUGCAAUUUUCUGUCAAAAAACCCAACCCAAAAGCAUAAGCUAUCAAGUGAAGCCCUGAUAAUGGUUUUAUAUUAUUACCCGGUAACUUAUUUUAUUUGUUAGAAAAGGAUGGUAAGAUUUGAACUCAUAAUUACCAUGUGAGAUUUGAAUUCAUAACCAUUUGGUUAUGAAAACCUUGAAAUCAUAUCAAAUAAUUAUCUCAACCUCAAAGUUUAAGCCAUCAACUCAAAAACUUAAGAUAUCAAUUAAAAAACUUAAGCUAUUAAGUGAAGCACAAAAAUAAUUUUAUAUUACUCUCUUAACAUUUUCUUUUCCAGGAUGAUGUGUGCAUAGAGGAUGAAGAAGGAAUUAGACACUGUAAAUUGAUUGCCGCGCAUGCUGGUUUAGAGGAAGGGAAAAAUGUAGGCGAACAACUGAGAUUUUUGAAAGCUAAGGAGACUCAUGUCCCCAAGAUACAGGCUCUUAGUGGGAGGAAAACAGUUUGGGAUAUACCAAAGGUGAUGGCUCGAUACCUACUUUUAAUUUUUUUAUCUGAAACUUUUUAUCCUAAUCUACCAAUUUCUCCACCCACUUACUUUCUUUAGUGGGAAAAGACUCGGAUGUUCACAGCUUCACACAUUCAAGACAUUAUAUAUCACUGUUCUUUUAUAUAUAUAUAACUGAAGUGUGGAUGUUUGAUGUUUGCUGUUUAAUUUCACAUAGGAAUUAACUGAGAAACCGAUCAUUGUGGUUAGCGGCCACCACGGGAAACUUCAUAUUGAUGGUCUUAGAUUGAUUAUUGAUGAAGGUGGUGGAUUUGAGAAUAAACCAGUGGCUGCAAUUGCGCUUCCCUCGAUGAAGCUUGUUCGUGAUACUGAUAAUUUGACAAAAUAGCUUGGAGUAUAUUAUAGAUUGAUGCAAGUGUCCACAAUCUUUCCAGAUUUAGCCUAGCAUACACAUCCAGGCAUGUAAUCUGACUGUUACAUUGUUGGUUGCAUAUCCUGAGCAAUCGUUUCAGUACUGGCCUUGGACGUUCUUCUCAUUGCUUUUCUCCCCCUCACCCUGUGACGGGGGAUGCUUGGUUUUAUCAAAUGUCGUAUCUAAUAUUGUAGAAAUUUCUUGGGGAAUAUCAAUAAAAUGGGCUUGUGUCCAUGAUAAUUGUCUUGUGGAAAUUGUCCAAUACAUUGAAUUUAGUUUCAUUCUGUUUUUUUUUUCCUUGAGAAAAAUAACGAAAAUGCUGACGGGAAACUUGCAUGACUGUCAGCUUCUACUGAUUUCUAAAAUGAGAGCUAAGAGGCUGGCCUUCAUUUAUGUUGGGGUAUACACACAAAAGCAGAUUAAUCAUACCAGUUUUUCAUUAGCAAAUGUCAAAAAUGGUCGAGUGCAUGAAUGAUUUGUAUCCUGUUCAAAAAGAUUGGUUAAACUGACAUGAACCUAACCAACUGGUUCUGUAGAAAUGGAGUCUCGGCCAUACCAAAUAUCAAGUUUUCUGUAACUGGUCUUCAUAAAAUCUGCAGAUGCAAUGUUUUCAGGGUCCAUAACAUCAAGCUGUUAAAAAACCACAUAAUCAGAGACCAGACCGUUUCAGUUUCUCAAUAGCUCGAAGACCUCUCUUUUCAUCUCUAGCUGUUAGCAUUCACAGUUUAAUGUUGACUAAGUAGAACAACAGUCUAUUUCUGACAUUUUAAUGAGAGCACGGCAGAAAAUGGAUCUUUCCUAGUUUCUAGUCCUGCAUGUUUCAGACGACUUUGGAUCAAAUGGCAUUGAUACCAUAGAGAUGCCAUCAGAAAGGGAUGGCAUAGAGAUGUGUGGAGAGAGAAGUGUGGUAUGGAUGGCAUAGAGAUCCCAUCAGAAAGGGAUCUGAAAAUUCAAAAGUGUGGUGUGGAAUUUACAUGUGAAUGCUAGGAAAUUCAGAGCAAAACUAUUUAAUCUUGUCCACAUGUCAUAGAAAAUGUCAGUGCUUAGAAGAAAAUAAGCAACUUCGUACUGUAAGAGCUGUCUGGGCCUUCUGAAAAUUCAUGCUUGUUUCGAAACGGUCCAAAUAGACAGAAAAAUCAAGGAAAACUAAUGAUAGCUGCACAGAAACAAAUACAAAAUUAAAUUAUGAUAACCCAUGGUGAUAAUAAUAAUUUUUUAAAUUUUAUUUUUAAAAUUAAUACAUUAAAACAAUCUAAAAAUAUAAAAAAUAACUGAAACUCCAAGAUUAUGAAAACCCUUUUUUUCUUAGUUUUGGUAAUACCAAAUUGUUGUCACACUAGUAUAAUAGAGGUAAAAGGUGGAGGCUGAGAAACUACCCACCCGGCAUCUUCGGUAGAAAAUGAAGUAUCUUUUUUGCUCGAAGAUGAAAAAAAUAAUAAUCAUAGUCUUAAUCUAAUUAAAAAAUAUAUCAGAGAACUUAGAGUACAUGGAUGAUAAACAGAUGCAUGAUGCAUAAAAAUGGCCUGUCUUGCCAUAUCUUUUGAUUGAUUCGAUCAUUCUAUGCUAAAUUUCUUUAAACUACUCCAAAAACUACCUGGAAUCUUUCGCUAAUGUCCAUAUAAAUCUCCAUUGUGAUCGUUGAUGAUUUCUUAAUCUUAUGCUGAUAGAAACAGAAACAAAGUGUGAAACAUCUAAGAACACUUCGGAUUGUCUUGCUUGUUCGCGUAAAACUAUCGCAGUACUAACAGAGAUGGAUUCAUUCAACUAUUAAUACAAACAUCCAGAUUGUUAUAUGUUAAGUUUGCUCCUCUUGUCAUUUUUAGAUUACAGUGAAUCAUUUUUAGUUCGUUCAGUAGCUGCAUGAGGUUGGCUUCAUAUUCUCCUGAGUAGCGACUAGCAGGCUAGCAUCAACUCUUUUUCAUAGGCUUGAUAUAAGGAGUUCAUGACACGCACACCCAUCAACCCCAACACUUGAUCUAUAACCUGUAAUCCUAGCCAUCACCAAUGUUGUCCUGCAUCAUUCCCGAGUUUAUUUCGCCAGCUCACAAUCCUAAAGAACUUCAUAUCAAGCAUGAGUAUAUACCAAUCUAAUACAUAUGGAUACAUUUAUUUAAAGACAUGGGCCUUAAGACACAAAUCUUGAGAGAUAGGAGGGAAAGAAUUUCAUAUGCUUCGGUUAUAGGAUCUAUCAAUUUAAGCAUAAUGAUUAUAUACCAAUUUAAUCCUUGUAAAGGUCAUAGAUUGAUAGUUAAAAACAGUAUUAAGUAAUUAAGAAUGUGUUUCUUGUCCAUGUAAGAGAUGAUCUUGUAAUUCAUUAUUAUUUGAAUUCUAGUUUUCAAUCGGGGAUUGAUGCUAACAAAUCCUAAUUUGGGUAUAUUUUACUUUGAAUGAUGGUGCUAUAAGUUGUAAGAGUUUCAAAUAAGAAACUACAACAAAUUUUAUAACUAAAACUAAAUAUAUCUAUGUGUCUAAGCCAACAAAAAUGUCGUUUGGAUCAAUAAGUUUAUCACUAAAUUAGAUGUGAUUCUUUACAUUAUUAAUCUAGUAACUUUGUAUUGUGAUUACAAUUGAGCUAUUAUAUUAGCAAAGAAACUAAUGUCUUAUUAAUAAUCUAAACAUGUAUUUAGACGAUUUCAUUAAUAAUCUCAAAUGUAACAUUGCGAUGUAUAAUUAUUCUUGGUACAUGGUAAAACACUAAGCCUCCUUUUUUUUUUCUUUUAAUUUUAAUUGCUACUCCUUGAUAAUCAGAUCGGGUAAAAAAAAACGUGGUUAAUUACAAAGUGCAAUAAGCAGCGUCAAAAAUAUUUUUAAAGGUUCACUAAGUUGUGAUUGGUUGGUCGUGAUCUAACAAAAAACAAUCAAUCUUUGUGUUUAUGAAUUUCAUUUGAUUAGAGGAGCUCCAUUAAGUUGUUUUUGAUCAUUUAUGUAUCUUGCUUGAAAAAUAUAGAUAAGAGCUUGAGUUUUUUUGAAUGCAAUGAGAUUUUUCAGUUCUUUGACAUAUUAAAGGCUCAUUUGAAGUUAGAUACGGAUUUAUUGAGAUUUAUGGAUUAUGUAUUUGGGGUUUUUAGGUGAAAAAAAUGGUUAAAAAAUGGUUUUCAUAGUCAAAUAAGGCAAAUCUCAACUUCUUAGUCAUCUCUAAGUGGUCAAAAAAUUAUACUAGCAAAUAUGUUGUCUUUCAUUGCAAAUGACAUGUCAUUUUAUUUGUUUUUUAAAAGGAUGGAGGAUGCAUUAAGAAAAAUGGCCAAACACAUGGUCUUGCCUCGUGCCUCUUUUAUCAUGUGCUAGACGCAUUUGUCCCCGAGCUUAGUUGCCUAUACUUUUUUUUUUUGUUAAACUUUUUAUAUAUAAAAAAUUAAUCCAAAAUGUUGUUGUCUCAAUAUAUAUUUUUUAAAAAGUUCAAAUAACAUAAAGUUAAAUAGGUCACUUUAAAAUGACUGAAACAUGGUUUGAUUUUAAAUUCAAACAAAGUAAGAGGUUUGGUCAAGGGGUCUCUAGAUUGAAUUAUAGGGUUAAAUUUACUAACAUUGUCUAGAAAAUCUCUCAUGAUAAAACGUAUAUAUUUUUAUAUUUUGAAUUCAUUAACAUCUAAGUUAUCAAAAUAUUAUUAUUUUUAAUUAAAAAUUACUAUGAUUAUUAUAGGAUGUUGUUUGGGUAACAAAUUUUAGGUUUGUUAUUAUACAUAUCAUUCACGUUGUUUGCUCUCAAUAUUCUCAGAAAUUGACAACAACAAUGAUACCAUGUAUAUAAAUUGAGAUUUGAAUGUAAUGGCAGUAAUCACUACAUAAAUAGAAAUUAACCGCAACAAUGGUAACUAUUAUAUAAAUAAAAAUUAACCGCAACAACAAAGAUAAUUAUGCAUAAAUUGUAUUUAUUAACAAUGAUUGACCUUGUGACACAAUGUUUAUGAGUCGGCAAAUGAGUAGGGGCUACUAAUCAGGUGUUUAUUGAAUUGGAUCACAUGAUUAUUGAUCCUGUAUUUAUAAUCCAUGGGAGCUACAUGAGUGGAGAUAUAAUUUGGAAAUUAUUUAAGUCGGCUCAAGAAGAGGACUAGUGUUAAAAUCAAACAUGGUGUAAAAAUUGUUACAGGCCAAGAAACCAAAUGAUAAGCAAGUCAAGCAUAUAAAGUAUAUCAGAAUUAAAUUAAUAGCAAUGGUAAAAUUAAUAUUACGAGAACAUAAUAACUUUAUAUAAAAUUACAAACUAAAUUAUCAAUAAAAUUAUUAAUAAAUAAUAAAAUUAAAAAAAUAAAACAAUUAAAACUGAGAUAAAUUCAUAUAAAAUAAAAGAUAAGAAAAUGAAAAAGCAUAAUCAACCAAUACAAAUGGCAACGGGAAGAGUCGUUAUCAGCCAGCCAAGAAGGCAAGAUGAACUUCUCUUUCAAGCUCUAGCUAGAACAAAAAUCAAGCACUAAACCAGACCAAUACUAAUAUACGUACCCAAAAGCAUUCUCUUUAUCAAUCGAAGAACAGAACAGAACCACCACGGAACCCAAAAUGACAGAGGCAGAGCCAAGCAACAACAGCACGGUCGCAAAACCCAGAUUAGUAAUCUGCAUAGGCGACAUCCAUGGCCACAUCACAAAGCUUCAAAAUCUUUGGUCAAAUCUCGAAACCCAAUUCGACCCCCAACACUUUAACGCUGCAACAAUUAUCUUCUUAGGCGAUUACUGUGACAGAGGCCCAGAUACCAAGAAAGUCCUAGAUUUCUUGAUAGACUUACCUUCAAGGUAUCCAAAUCAAAAGCAUGUGUUUCUUUCGGGAAAUCAUGACUUUGCUUUUGCUGCUUUUGUUGGUGUCCUGCCUGAGCCGCAAAAUGGGGUGUCAUUUAAGGAAGGAUGGAAGGAGUAUGAAGAGAGUGAGGACAGGGAAGGGUGGUAUAAAGGAGACGGGUAUGAG